Drosophila miranda is the source of this 1254-nucleotide long non-coding RNA. RefSeq lists it as uncharacterized. The transcript is spliced from 2 exons. Lineage: Eukaryota; Metazoa; Arthropoda; Insecta; Diptera; Drosophilidae. The record is from RefSeq and is a predicted model, not a curated record.
UGUUUUUUUGCGAAAAUCGUGAAAAAUGGAUGUCCCUUUUUCCGAUUGCAGUCGAUUGGCAGGACUCGCCCGAUAAUGCAGAGCCAUGCCACGCCCCGAUCGGUCCAUAAAUAAUCGAGAUAUAGCCAAAGAAAAUAUGAAAAUGUCGGCAUUUUUGUCGCAAGUUGAAGAUUGUUGUUGUACCAUAACAAAAAUCGGUAGAUUUUUGUUGUAGAACAAUUAACAACAACAAGCCAGGUUUGUAUUAUUGUUUUCUCCGCUAUUUGUGGCCCGAUCAGUGUGAUGGCUUCCUGUGAUCAAAGAAGUGCACCCGAUUCAAUGGAGCCCUUAUCUCGGAUCCAGAAUAUUUUUCCCAAUCAAACAUAAUAGUAUUUAUCUAUUUAUUUUAUUAUUCGACAACGGAAUCAGAAUAAUCCUUAUCUAACUUAUUUCUAUCUUAAAAAAUAACAAAAAAUUACAAAAUCAUGCAUGAAAUAGGAAAAAUUCUAGAAUCAACCGUCUGAUGGCUCCUUUCCCCUGGCAAAACUCAAAUCGCAUCGCAGCUGGCAACGCACUGUGCUGACGAAAAGCCCAAAAGAUGGGCCCAUUGUUGCCAUAGUUGGUCUGGUGGAGAUUAACCACAAAGGUUGGGUGGGCUUAGGCUCCAGGCAGGCGCACUCAAGCCCAUCCUACUAAGCCGGUCAGGGCAAUCGAUGUUAACCACUAGGAGGUUAUAGACAUAGAUCUGAGCAGCAAUGGUCCUUCCAUCUUAGAGGGAGGAGAUAUGCACGACACGAAAUCUGCGAACUUUCUGGAUUAGAUCCCAGGCUCUUCGGCUCUAAGCCAGGUCUGACGCCCAUUCAUACGCCGCCGAAUCAAACGAUGGGCUACAGCUUCAAAACGGAGGACUUAUGUACCCUUCGCUUUGCCACAAACCGAGUCGUAUCAGAAUUACUCCGCCAAAAGGAGUCCUAUCCAAGCAUUACCGAGGCGUAUUCGAGAUAGACCGAUUCCAAUCCCAGCCAGACAGAAUCGUAUCCCAGCAGGACAGAUGCGCACCCCUGCAUGAUCCGAACGUAAGAAGCCAUCGUCAUCCUUCGACCUGGCCAUCGACAACAAGGACUUUGACAAUGACAACCAAGGGAGAGGCUACGCGAGAUACUAGAUAUUAUAUAGAUAUCGUUGUUCUUAGGUUUAAGAUAGAUACAAAUGUUUUCCACUUGUUUAUUUAUUUGUACUAAGCUAAGUUUUGAUCAAUAAAGUUAUUGAAAAUCA